This 497-nucleotide ribosomal RNA is filed under the name uncultured bacterium. Its description in RNAcentral is "partial 16S ribosomal RNA". It matches the Rfam family "Bacterial small subunit ribosomal RNA", at positions 28 to 507 of the family's 1533-position model. The record is from RNAcentral.
GAUGAACGCUGGCGGCGUGCCUAAUACAUGCAAGUCGAGCGAACAGAUGAGGAGCUUGCUCCUCUGACGUUAGCGGCGGACGGGUGAGUAACACGUGGAUAACCUACUUAUAAGACUGGGAUAACUUCGGGAAACCGGAGCUAAUACCGGAUAAUAUAUUGAACCGCAUGGUUCAAUAGUGAAAGACGGUUUUGCUGUCACUUAUAGAUGGAUCCGCGCCGCAUUAGCUAGUUGGUAAGGUAACGGCUUACCAAGGCAACGAUGCGUAGCCGACCUGAGAGGGUGAUCGGCCACACUGGAACUGAGACACGGUCCAGACUCCUACGGGAGGCAGCAGUAGGGAAUCUUCCGCAAAGGGCGAAAGCCUGACGGAGCAACGCCGCGUGAGUGAUGAAGGUCUUCGGAUCGUAAAACUCUGUUAUUAGGGAAGAACAAAUGUGUAAGUAACUAUGCACGUCUUGACGGUACCUAAUCAGAAAGCCACGGCUAACUACGUG